CGGCUGCUAUAUGCUGAUCUGUAUAUCUCGAUGUACGUUUAGUACGUAUGUAUAGCUUCUUAUCGAUAAGCUCCAUUCAUUUGUUUUAUAAACCGUAUUUUUCUAUCAUUAGCAGUGUUUUUCUUUUAUAAUAAAUUAAUGAAUAGUAUUUUCAGCAAUGAUUUUUAGACAAGCGAACAAACUCUACUGUCUGUCUUUUUUCUGCACCAAUGAAUGGAUCGAUGACCCAUGCGCCGUGCAGUGCGGUGACGAACCAAUGGAAGGGCCCUGGGAAGCUGCUGAAAGAACUAGCGUCUCUAACAAUGUCACUUUAGUUAGCUAAUAAAAAUUUAUAUCAGUAUUUUCUUAAUAUGAAAGAGAGAUGAUUCAAAAGAGAAAAGAUUAUCUUUUAUCUCAACGCUUUGAAAACGAGGUAGAGGUAGUUUAUGGGUCUACUCAUAAAGAGUAAGAGAGGGAGGAGAGAAGAUAUAGAAUAAAAAAUUAUUUAUAUGUGGGAUUCACAUAAUGAAGUGACAAUGACAUAGUAUAUACUCCAAUAAGCUAGGCCUUGUUUAGUUCUAAAUUUUUUUGUAAAAUGGGCACUGUAGCAUUUUCGUUUAUAUUUGACAAAUAUUAUCCAAUUAUGGACUAACUAGGCUUAAAAGAUUUAUCUCGUAAUUACAGACAAAUUGUAUAAUUAGUUAUUAUUUUUAUCUAUGUUUAAUGCUCAAUGCAUGUGGUGUAAGAUUUUAUGUGAUGGGAAAUCUGAAAUUUUUUGCAAAACUUUAACAAGGCCCUAGUUGUUGUCUCGUACUAUUGAGGACACGGACGUCCUUAAUGAUAUUAGCGACGUAGCUAAUUUAUAUGGAGAUGAGAGACAAGAGUAAAGACUAUUUUAUGUAUGUUUAUUUUCUAUGUACUAUUAGACCUACAUGUCAUUCUUUAGAUUUUUGAACUACGUGAAAUAGAUAGGCUAUUUGCUUAUCGCUAGUUUUUUCUUAUCCAUGUCAUAAUAGCUAGCCAAAUAGCUAAUUAUUGGGGACGCGCUACAUCGGUAAUGGUGCUAGCUACGUAGCUAGCUUAUGUGGAGGUGAAAGACAAGAGCAAAGACUAUUUUAUAUAUGUUUAUUUUUUAUAUAUUAUUAGACUCAUAUGUUACUCUCUUAGAUUCUUAGACUAUAUAAAAUAGAUAAGCUAUUUAUUUGUCGCUAGUAAUUACUCUCUUUAUUACUUUUUAUCUAUCCAUGUCAUAAUAAUUAGCCAAAUAGCUGGCAUUGAAGACACCCUAAUGCGGCUACUGUGCCUGUCCACCCCCGAGUCGUGAAUCUAUGCUUUGUCAGGCCUGUUUAGUUAUGAAAAGUUUUUGGUUUUCAAUAUUGUAGUAUUUUUAUUUUUAUUUAGCAAAUAUUAUCUAAUCAUAGACUAACUAGGCUUAAAAGAUUCAUCUCGCGAUUUACAGAUAAACUGUGUAAUUAUUUUUUGUUUUUAUUUAUAUUUAAUGUAUCAUACAUGUGCCGCAAGCUAAAUUUAAUGUAACGGGAAAUUUUUGGUCUUUAGUUGAACAUAAACAAGGCCUGACUCAGGUGGGUGGAUACUGUACAUACGGCUUGCAGCACGUACUACGGCUCAUUUAAGCGCUCAAUCUCAGCAUGCAUGACAUUAUGGGCUUCGUUUGUUUGCGAAUUUUUUUUGGGUUUGACUACUAUUGCACUUUUGUUUGUAUUUGAUAAUUAUUAUCUAACUAUAGACUAAUUAGAUUUAAAAAAUUCGUCUCGUAAAUUACAGACAAACUAUAUAAUUAAUUAUUUUUUAUCUAUAUUUAAUACUCUGCAUACGCCCAAUGAUCCGAUAUAAUAAAAAAUCUUAAAAUUUUUAGAACCAGAUGCAAGAUAUACCAAGCAAAGCAUGCAUUCAUAUAUACCAAGCAUCACUUCCCCUCCACAGGUUUUAACAAGUAUUUCCUCGGUUCACAAAUAAAUGUACGUUUUGUUUUCUAAGGAAUCAAAUUUUUUAAAGUUUAACUAAAUUUUUUUAGAUGAAAGGUUUCCCCUGCUUUUGUAUUUCAAAAAGUAACAACUUCAGGUUCAUACAAAGUUUAAACGCACAUUUGCGUCAAAUAGCAAACAAACAAGGUUUCAACCCCAAGACUCAACUCAUACCUUCAUCUCUAACCGAAUCACUCUUGGCAAACACUGAAGGCCGAGCAUCCAAUUGAUCCAACUGUGUUGAUGAAGUCCUUGUAAUCCCUUCCUUCCGAUCUAUCAACGUUGGACAUCUUGAUAACUCCUCCAACUUGAUGAUCAGGUUUUCCAGUCGCUUCCCAGCUUCCUCCUUGUACAACGGCAACUAACCCCUUAACAUCCUUGAGUAUUACAUAUGAUAACUAUUAGUGUAUUUUUGUAUAUAUUUGAUUAAACUUUAAAAAAUUUAAGACGUGCAUAUCUAGGUGGUCAAUCCGGUGAACACGACAGCGGUAGAGCAGUGCACUGUUUUGCUGCUACUGUUCACGGUGCUGUUUAUCACCGUACGUCCAAUCCUUGCCUGCACUGCUGUCACACCCAUAUUUUAAGAACAAAAUAGGAUGCAUAAAAGACUCAUAUGUGCCCCAGAAACAGUCGCACACAUAAGCAGACAAAUCUCAAAUGUACCAUCGCAGUGUUUAUUACAUAGCGGAAUAUAAAAUAUCACAUGGUCUCAUACAAAAAUGAUAACAUAAAGUAAACAACGCUCUCGACGGAAGCUCCACACAGGGACACUGUUGACUGGUUGACUCCAAACCUAGUACUCAUAACGGUAAUCCUCAUUCCAGUCAUCUUCGUUAUCAUAUCCUGAGGUGUUGGGAAAUUGCAAGAGUGAGCACAUAUCGUACUCAACAAGUAUAAUCAGGGGUUCAUGAGGCUCAAAUAGCUGACACUGGUUUGACUGCAUUUAGCUUUUAAUAGUGGAUAGCAUGUUCAUAAUUAAAUAGCAAUUCUCAAGGU
This 2960-nucleotide long non-coding RNA is filed under the name Sorghum bicolor (sorghum). RNAcentral's name for it is "long non-coding RNA (SBIC_LNC003597)". The record is from RNAcentral. Lineage: Eukaryota; Viridiplantae; Streptophyta; Magnoliopsida; Poales; Poaceae.